AAUCGGCUUAAGCUUAUACAAAUAAAAACUAAAUUCUCUUCAGAUAAAUCAAUUACAGUUAACGUGGAAUGUCUUCUAAAAAUAGAAUACACAAAAUUAUGCUGAGACUAUUUUCGAAAAGUUAUAUGGCCUCCACGGAUAUGAAGGGC
Hydra vulgaris (swiftwater hydra) is the source of this 149-nucleotide long non-coding RNA. RefSeq lists it as uncharacterized. NCBI's taxonomy places the organism in Eukaryota, Metazoa, Cnidaria, Hydrozoa, Anthoathecata, Hydridae. The record is from RefSeq and is a predicted model, not a curated record.